RNAcentral lists this ribosomal RNA (550 nucleotides) under uncultured archaeon. RNAcentral's name for it is "bacterial SSU rRNA". It matches the Rfam family "Archaeal small subunit ribosomal RNA", at positions 325 to 879 of the family's 1478-position model. The record is from RNAcentral.
ACGGGGAGCAGCAGGCGCGAAAACUUUACAAUGCGGGAAACCGUGAUAAGGGAACUCCGAGUGCCCGUAAAAUCGGGCUGUCCAUCUGUUUAAAUAACAGGUGAAGAAAGGGCCGGGCAAGACCGGUGCCAGCCGCCGCGGUAAUACCGGCGGCUCGAGUGGUGGCCACUAUUACUGGGCUUAAAGCGUUCGUAGCUGGUUUGUUAAGUCUCUGGGGAAAUCUGCCGGCUCAACCGGCAGGCGUUCCAGGGAUACUGGCAGACUAGGGACCGGGAGAGGUGAGGGGUACUCCAGGGGUAGGAGUGAAAUCCUGUAAUCCUUGGGGGACCACCUGUGGCGAAGGCGCCUCACCAGAACGGCUCCGACAGUGAGGGACGAAAGCUGGGGGAGCAAACCGGAUUAGAUACCCGGGUAGUCCCAGCCGUAAACGAUGCGCGUUAGGUGUAUCGGUGACCACGAGUCACCGAGGUGCCGAAGAGAAAUCGUGAAACGUGCCGCCUGGGAAGUACGGUCGCAAGGCUGAAACUUAAAGGAAUUGGCGGGGGAGCAC